This 466-nucleotide ribosomal RNA is filed under the name uncultured Oomycota. Its description in RNAcentral is "LSU rRNA". The stretch from base 1 to 83 matches the Rfam family "Bacterial large subunit ribosomal RNA", at positions 476 to 559 of the family's 2925-position model. Lineage: Eukaryota; Oomycota. The record is from RNAcentral.
GUGCGAGACCGAUAGCGAACAAGUACCGUGAGGGAAAGAUGAAAAGAACUUUGAAAAGAGAGUUAAAGAGUACCUGAAACUGCUGAAAGGGAAGCGAAUCGUAUCCAGUGUCUAUAAUCUGCGGCAUAUUUCAUUGGCGGCGGUGCGCGUGCUUUUGCGUCGGAAGCGGCUUUUGUUGCUCUGUGCUUUUGCUGUGCGUGUUGUUGCUGGUGCCCUGUGUUGCGGUGGGACGUCAGAGUCAGUUUGUAUGCUGCGGGAAAUGGCUGCCGAGGAGGUAGGUCGAGAUUUCGGUCUUGGCUGUUAUAUCUUGGUGGUUUGUUGUCGUGGUUGAGACUGAGGUGCCUACAAUGUGCUUUUGAGUGUACCGGGUUCUCAUUUGGUGGACUGUUUGGAUAGCUUGCUAUGCUUGUGGUUUUUUCAUCGGGUGAUUGAAUCUGGUGGUAACUUGUUGCUGUUCGGGACUUUG